AUGAUCGCGUUGCGGUCGAGGUCCAAGAUCGCUGCCGCCGAGGUCCAAGAUCGCCGCCAUCGACCUCUGAGAUCGACAUCCCUCUCUAUUUCUGGUUCGCCGGCCUCUCUCCCUUUUACCAAUAACUCUCUUUUGUGCGCGUGCAUCGCUGCCGGCGUCCACUACCGGCCGCCUCCGCCGUCGAUUGGUGCCCCCAUGGCGCUACUGACUCCGACGAGAUCUCCUAUUUCCAACAUAUGCAGCCGCCUCGCUGUUCUGGCCCCAUGUGCGGACCCGUGGCUAACCCUAGCCAUCUCUAUCUCCGACGGUGAUGCCUCCUCUUCCUCUUGCAGCCCCGCCCUCGUCCUUGCUGGUGCUCCACAUGUAUAUCCGACGGUGACGGCGACCGACGGGCUGUGGGUCUACCAGAAGGCGCGGCAGGCGACAGCGCAAGGCCGCUCGCAGCAGGGCGCGUGGUCGAUGCGUGCGGGUGGUAGCCGGCGAGGACAUGUUGAUGUUCAUCCGGGGCACACGGUGCUCCUCUACGGCUGGGUCAUCGUUCCCGCGCUGAGCAAGUUCUCCAUCUCCUCGGGCGGCGGCUGCGGGGAGCCGUCGCAGCUGCAGCGGAUGGGCGCAGGCCGCGUCCUCAUGGCGAUCUCCAUGGCGAUCGCGGCCGUCGUGGAGACGAGCCGCCUCGCCAGCACGGAUCGUGGGCUUCGCUGCCAUGGAAUGGCGCCUCUGAUUUCUCAGGUAGAUGAGCUCGGAUUCAUGGAUGCUAUGUCCAUACAGCAAACUGAGUGCUUCAAAGAAGAUGAGGUCAAGAAGGUGGCUACGCAAAUGAUCACAAAGAGAAGACUACCGCUGGGUUGCUUUGGUUUACAAGGAGGAGAGGCUGAGGCUGAUGCUUCUAGAGUUGGUGUACGUUGUGUAGAGAGAGGUGAGGAUCUCACUCCAGUAUCUUGGGAGCAAAGCAGAAAGGAGUUCAGUGCGAAGGAGAAUAGGAGGGAGGAGAGAUCUGGACGCACCAAGACAAACAAGCGAGCUGAUCAUGCCGCCAACCUUGUUCUGUGCGGCUCGCUGGAGCUAGACGAUGAGUCCUUGCCUGCCUCCGGCCCUCCUAACAAUUGCUGUGAACCCUGUUAUGCGCCCUUGGCUGAUCAGCCAAUCUUACUAUACCUUUCCCCCUCCCGGUUCAUCAUGCUCAGGUCCUAG
RNAcentral lists this ribosomal RNA (1191 nucleotides) under Triticum aestivum (bread wheat). RNAcentral's name for it is "partial small subunit ribosomal RNA". The record is from RNAcentral. Lineage: Eukaryota; Viridiplantae; Streptophyta; Magnoliopsida; Poales; Poaceae.